ACUCCAAAUGCAUGCUCAUUUGACAUCCCCUGAAGCGCUGCACCCGCACAGAACGAAUACUCAAAAUUCAUUCCUUCACACUUCAUGACAGAGGGCCGAAGAAACUCACUUCUGUAUGGCAUGAAGGACCGUCCGUCCCUGUUGCGUCCCUCUGUGCGCUGGAAGGCGCGGUCGGAUCUCUGGCAGCCUGCUGGCUGCUGCUCCCAACCGCGGGGAACUGCGCCGCGCCGCUUCUGAAGAGAGAAAGGAAGAAACGGUGGUGGGAACGGGCAGCCAAGGCUUGCAGAGAGGUUCCAGAUCGUGCCAGAGAGGGGAUAUCAGAGUGCUGAGACACUGAUUAUCACUAAGGGAAAAGACGGCCUGAGCCACGUCCGCGAUGUUAGCCCAGGCUGUCAGCAGUGAGCGCUGAAUGCAACCGGUUACUGAGGUCACCAAGGACCAGCAGGGCUCCCCCUGCUCCGUCCCUUCCCCUUGAGAGCAAGAGAAAGGAAGAACCAAGCAGAAGAAGCCCAGCCAUACCUUGCCACUCAGACGGCAGCAAUUGGAACCAUGAUCGUCUCUUUGCUGAGACAUGGCCGCUGAAAACUCAGAGGAAGCUGAAGUUCCCAGGCCUCUGUGCACAGGAACUUCCCCGGCCCUUGCAAAGAGCUGGCUUCCCUCUUCCUCCGACUGCCUCGAUCCCAAAAUCUCC
RNAcentral lists this long non-coding RNA (691 nucleotides) under Gallus gallus (chicken). Its description in RNAcentral is "lncRNA (ENSGALG00010029069.1)". Lineage: Eukaryota; Metazoa; Chordata; Aves; Galliformes; Phasianidae. The record is from RNAcentral.